RNAcentral lists this ribosomal RNA (527 nucleotides) under uncultured bacterium. RNAcentral describes it as "bacterial SSU rRNA". It matches the Rfam family "Bacterial small subunit ribosomal RNA", at positions 355 to 897 of the family's 1533-position model. The record is from RNAcentral.
UGAGGAAUAUUGCGCAAUGGGCGAAAGCCUGACGCAGCAACGCCGUGUGAGCGAUGAAGGCCUUCGGGUCGUAAAGCUCUUUUCCCAGGGAUGAGCAAGGACAGUACCUGGGGAAUCAGUCACGGCUAACUACAUGCCAGCAGCCGCGGUAAAACGUAGGUGGCAAGCGUUAUCCGGAUUCACUGGGCGUAAAGCGCACGCAGGCGGCCCGGUAGGUAGGGCAUGAAAUCUCCUGGCUUAACUGGGAGAGGUUGUCCUAGACCGCCGGGCUUGAGACUGGGAGAGGGAAGUGGAAUUGCCGGUGUAGUGGUGAAAUGCGUAGAGAUCGGCAGGAACACCAGUGGCGAAGGCGGCUUCCUGGCCCAGUUCUGACGCUCAAGUGCGAAAGCUAGGGGAGCGAACGGGAUUAGAAACCCCGGUAGUCCUAGCCGUAAACGAUGCACACUAGGUGUCGGUGGUCUUGACCCCAUCGGUGCCGUAGCUAACGCGUUAAGUGUGCCGCCUGGGGACUACGGCCGCAAGGUUAA